GUGUCAGCCGCCGCGGUAAGACAGAGGGUGCAAACGUUGCUCGGAAUUACUGGGCGUAAAGCGCGUGUAGGCGGACUUGUAAGUCAGAUGUGAAAGCCCUGGGCUCAACCCAGGAACUGCAUUUGAAACUGCGAGCCUAGAGUGAUGGAGAGGGAAGCGGAAUUCCUGGUGUAGAGGUGAAAUUCGUAGAUAUCAGGAGGAACACCGGUGGCGAAGGCGGCUUCCUGGACAUCAACUGACGCUGAGACGCGAAAGCGUGGGGAGCAAACAGGAUUAGAAACCCGCGUAGUCC
This 292-nucleotide ribosomal RNA is filed under the name uncultured bacterium. RNAcentral's name for it is "partial 16S ribosomal RNA". It matches the Rfam family "Bacterial small subunit ribosomal RNA", at positions 505 to 796 of the family's 1533-position model. The record is from RNAcentral.